This 24-nucleotide non-coding RNA is filed under the name Arabidopsis thaliana (thale cress). The record is from RNAcentral. Lineage: Eukaryota; Viridiplantae; Streptophyta; Magnoliopsida; Brassicales; Brassicaceae.
UCAGUGUCAAGCCUCUUCCUUCCU